This 32-nucleotide non-coding RNA is filed under the name Homo sapiens (human). The record is from RNAcentral. Lineage: Eukaryota; Metazoa; Chordata; Mammalia; Primates; Hominidae.
UUCUGCUCAAUACUCUGCGAUGGCUCCCAUGC